UAGUAGUUUGUCGAUAUAUAU
Non-coding RNA from Caenorhabditis elegans, 21 nucleotides. Lineage: Eukaryota; Metazoa; Nematoda; Chromadorea; Rhabditida; Rhabditidae. The record is from Ensembl.